RNAcentral lists this ribosomal RNA (279 nucleotides) under uncultured bacterium. RNAcentral describes it as "partial 16S ribosomal RNA". It matches the Rfam family "Bacterial small subunit ribosomal RNA", at positions 506 to 784 of the family's 1533-position model. The record is from RNAcentral.
UGCCAGCCGCCGCGGUAAUACGGAAGGUGCAAGCGUUAAUCGGAAUUACUGGGCGUAAAGCGCGCGUAGGCGGUUAGAUAAGUCGGGUGUGAAAGCCCUGGGCUCAACCUGGGAACUGCAUUCGAUACUGUCUGACUAGAGUGUGAUAGAGGGAGGCGGAAUUCCACAUGUAGCGGGGAAAUGCGUAGAGAUGUGGAGGAACACCAAUGGCGAAGGCAGCCUCCUGGAUUAACACUGACGCUGAGGUGCGAAAGCGUGGGGAGCAAACAGGAUUAGAUA